GACGAACGCUGGCGGCGUGCCUAAUACAUUCAAGUAGAACGCUGAAGGAGGAGCUUGCUUCUCUGGAUGAGUUGCGAACGGGUGAGUAACGCGUAGGUAACCUGCCUGGUAGCGGGGGAUAACUAUUGGAAACGAUAGCUAAUACCGCAUAAUAGUAGAUGUUUCAUGACAUUUGCUUAAAAGGUGCACUUGCAUCACUACCCGAUGGACCUGCGUUGUAUUAGCUAGUUGGUGAGGUAACGGCUCACCAAGGCAACGAUACAUAGCCGACCUGAGAGGGUGAUCGGCCACACUGGGACUGAGACACGGCCCAGACUCCUACGGGAGGCAGCAGUAGGGAAUCUUCGGCAAUGGACGGAAGUCUGACCGAGCAACGCCGCGUGAGUGAAGAAGGUUUUCGGAUCGUAAAGCUCUGUUGUAAGAGAAGAACGAGUGUGAGAGUGGAAAGUUCACACUGUGACGGUAUCUUACCAGAAAGGGACGGCUAACUACGUG
This 495-nucleotide ribosomal RNA is filed under the name uncultured bacterium. RNAcentral's name for it is "partial 16S ribosomal RNA". It matches the Rfam family "Bacterial small subunit ribosomal RNA", at positions 28 to 507 of the family's 1533-position model. The record is from RNAcentral.